GUCUUCGUGGUGUAUUAGUCAGCACGCUGGUCUCGCAUUCCAGAGAUCUGUGGUUCGAGUCCCAUCGCAGGCG
This 73-nucleotide transfer RNA is filed under the name Stegodyphus mimosarum. It matches the Rfam family "tRNA". Rfam says of the family: Transfer RNA (tRNA) molecules are approximately 80 nucleotides in length. The record is from Rfam by way of RNAcentral. Lineage: Eukaryota; Metazoa; Arthropoda; Arachnida; Araneae; Eresidae.